CAGUAGCCGCGGUAAUACGGAGGGAGCUAGCGUUGUUCGGAAUUACUGGGCGUAAAGCGCACGUAGGCGGCUUUGUAAGUUAGAGGUGAAAGCCUGGAGCUCAACUCCAGAAUUGCCUUUAAGACUGCAUCGCUUGAAUCCAGGAGAGGUGAGUGGAAUUCCGAGUGUAGAGGUGAAAUUCGUAGAUAUUCGGAAGAACACCAGUGGCGAAGGCGGCUCACUGGACUGGUAUUGACGCUGAGGUGCGAAAGCGUGGGGAGCAAACAGGAUUAGAUACCCGAGUAGUCCCUGUCUCUUAUAC
Molecule: ribosomal RNA, 301 nt
Filed under: uncultured bacterium
Lineage: Bacteria
Description: partial 16S ribosomal RNA
Rfam family: Bacterial small subunit ribosomal RNA
Source: RNAcentral